UACGUAGGGUGCAAGCGUUAAUCGGAAUUACUGGGCGUAAAGCGUGCGCAGGCGGUUUUGUAAGUCUGUCGUGAAAUCCCCGGGCUCAACCUGGGAAUUGCGAUGGAGACUGCAAGGCUAGAAUCUGGCAGAGGGGGGUAGAAUUCCACGUGUAGCAGUGAAAUGCGUAGAGAUGUGGAGGAAUACCGAUGGCGAAGGCAGCCUCCUGGGCCAACACUGACGCUCAUGCACGAAAGCGUGGGGAGCAAACAGG
RNAcentral lists this ribosomal RNA (253 nucleotides) under uncultured bacterium. RNAcentral describes it as "partial 16S ribosomal RNA". It matches the Rfam family "Bacterial small subunit ribosomal RNA", at positions 524 to 776 of the family's 1533-position model. The record is from RNAcentral.